RNAcentral lists this long non-coding RNA (1932 nucleotides) under Olea europaea subsp. europaea. The record is from RNAcentral. Lineage: Eukaryota; Viridiplantae; Streptophyta; Magnoliopsida; Lamiales; Oleaceae.
CUUGGUUUUGUAACCCACUGUGUAUGAACAGAUAAAAAAACAUGACACGAUCAGAGUGAGAUAAUUGAUAUGACAAUUAUUCGUCCACAACGUUAGACAACUUAAAAUGGAACUAUCAGUAGUGCUAGCAAACAAGAGAAAUCAGUGUGGACCUUCACUGGAAACUGACAAUUAAAAAAUAAUUUAUGCAUGUAAAAUAACAUGAAUUUGACGCAUCCAAACUCUAAUAACCGUUUCUAGAAUGGGAAAAAAUUCUAUUACAAUUCUACUCUACAUGGACUAAAUUCAUUAAAGACUCAUAGACGCACACAGAGUUCAAACAAUAAACAAGAACAAACAUGUCAAAUUUAGAGUCACCACAAAAUGACAAGUAUCUAUAGUAUCAGAAAGGAAAUAGUGGAAAUGUUUAAUUAGACUAAACCACGUCGACAAGUCACACGAGUUUAAAUGCUUUAGAAACUUAUAUUUAGGUAAGCGUUAAACAGGUUUCAGCAACCCCUUCAAUGGUAUCAUCCACGGGGAGAAUGUGUACACGCUUCCCAUACUUGAAAUCAGCACAUUGAUGAACAGAGCAGAAACCACAUCUCGGAGCCAAACCUUAAGGUUGUUUCUGACAACCUUAUUCAUCAAAAUCUUGGUUCAUCACAAGUGUCAUCAGCAAUGGCAACGCAAAAUGUGUCCUUUUUUUACUUUCCCUACACAUAAAAUCAGAAUUAAAUAUUUGAUGUAUUCAUAUGCUUAAUGAUGCUUAUUAAAGGAUUUACAAGUCCUGUUUGAAUUUUUUUAUGAAAUAUAUGCAAGUACUGAUAUCUAUAGUACUCUGAUAUCAAACAAUAGAGAAGUCAAAUUUUUAAACAUGAUGUGAACAGAAUAAAUAGAGCUAGGAUGCUGUGUCUCUAUUGAUAUAAUUAAGUCUAACUUGAUGAAAAUUCGUAUACCAUCUUUCAUCAUCUAAAACUUUAACAAACAACGACCGUUAAAACCCAUGAAUUGAAAAUCCUUUAAUAAAUUAGGGAUUCAAAAACAAAUAAAAUUCAUCUUCUGAACGAUAGGUUAUUUCAAACAUACAGAAAAUUAAAAGCUAUAAUUAUGACAAAUCUAGGGACAAGACUAAUUAUUUCCAAAAAGAAAAAAAAACCCUCAAUUAAAGCGAAUAUGAAAUUGACAUAUCUGAUGUCGUUACUCUUCAAUUUCUGUGUCAAUCUUCUUCUUUUUUCCCCCAAAGUUUCAAAAAACUCUGAAGAAAGACAUAAAGAAAAAAAAAAAAUUAAACACUUAAAAAAAGAGCUGAAGAGGAUAGAACAAAAAAUACAUCGAGUACCAUAUGAAUGAACAGUGAAUGUAUGAAAUAUGGAAAAGGAAGUAAAGGUUAGAGAAUUAAAAAGUCAUUUUCAAGAUUGGGAAUAAAUUUUCUAUGGACUAUAAAGAAUGGGAACUACUUGCACAAAUUUCUCAAAAGAAAAAGGAAAGGAUAGUUCGAGAAUUUUGGGGCCCUUUGAGUUGGAACUGACGUGAGGGCGCCUCGUCUUAGAUCCGGCUCUUGUUAGCAUGUAUGAUUUUGAAAAUUUUCCAAAUAUUGAAGAAAGUAAAUGAAUUAAAUAAAACGUAUCCGACAACAGGUACAUUUAAAGGUUGCAUUUUAUAAUUUACGCAAUUCUCAAAGAAUUAGUCUUGUUUGAACCCCUUUUUUUUUUUUUUUUUUACCAAAGAAUGCACUUUGUCAUAGUGACCUUUUUGGAAAUGUGUGGCUUAAAAAGUACAAAAAGAUUUUGAAUUUAUGUGCAAAUUAUUUUAUUGAGAAAAUGAGUGAUUAAAAAUGAGUUUGGAAAAAAAAUAAUAGUUUUUGAAUAAUAAGGCUCAAAUAAGGGCUUAAAUGAUCACAUAAAAAAGUAAGAGCAUAACUAAGAGAUGAUGAAAAUAAACAUCUCAUGU